This 350-nucleotide unclassified non-coding RNA is filed under the name soil metagenome. RNAcentral describes it as "partial contains 5.8S ribosomal RNA, internal transcribed spacer 2, and large subunit ribosomal RNA". The stretch from base 1 to 120 matches the Rfam family "5.8S ribosomal RNA", at positions 35 to 154 of the family's 154-position model. The record is from RNAcentral.
GAUGAAGAACGUAGCGAACUGCGAUAAGUAAUGUGAAUUGCAGAAUUCAGUGAAUCAUCGAGUCUUUGAACGCACAUUGCGCCCCCUGGCAUUCCGGGGGGCAUGCCUGUCCGAGCGUCAUUGCUGCCCUUCAAGCCCGGCUUGUGUGUUUGGUCGUCGUCCCCCCCGGGGGACGGGCCCGAAAGGCAGCGGCGGCACCGCGUCCGGUCCUCGAGCGUAUGGGGCUUUGUCACCCGCUCGAUUAGGGCCGGCCGGGCGCCAGCCGGCGUCUCCAACCUUCUAUUUUACCAGGUUGACCUCGGAUCAGGUAGGGAUACCCGCUGAACUUAAGCAUAUCAAUAAGCGGAGGA